UACGGGGGGAGCAAGCGUUGUUCGGAUUUACUGGGCGUAAAGGGCGCGUAGGCGGCCAGCACAAGUCAGUGGUGAAAUCUUCAAGCUUAACUUGGAAACUGCCAUUGAUACUAUAGGUCUUGAAUUAUCUGGAGGUGAGCGGAAUAUGUCAUGUAGCGGUGAAAUGCUUAGAUAUGACAUAGAACACCAAUUGCGAAGGCAGCUCACUACGGAUGUAUUGACACUGAGGCACGAAAGCGUGGGGAUCAAACAGG
Molecule: ribosomal RNA, 254 nt
Filed under: uncultured bacterium
Lineage: Bacteria
Description: partial 16S ribosomal RNA
Rfam family: Bacterial small subunit ribosomal RNA
Source: RNAcentral